CAGGGAGCGUCAAUGAGAGGUCUGUAAAAUUAAGUUUCUAUUUUAUUUUCUUUUAAAAAGUAAUAAUGUAAGAGCCAAACUCUGUGCCCUCAUGUGCUGGUUUCUGCAUUAAAUGUGAUUCUGCUGGACCAAUGCAUCACUUUGCAUGGAAGAUAUCAGCCAAUGGCAUUUACUGACAGCAAUGCAUGCCCUCAUCAGCUGCCAUGGUCACCAAACUUUUUAUUCUUUCUUUUCAGCCUCAUUCAACCUCAGAAAUGUUAGUCCUUUUCUUGAAGCGUAAACAGAGAGAACAAAGGAGCACAUGCUCAAAAAGAAGUAGGAGUGGGAGCGCCUGUGGACCCAGAGACUGACCAUCAAAGAAAGUAGUUGCCUGACAAUUUUCCAGUUUCUGCAUUCCUGCUCUUCGUACUCCAUUUGAGUCUACGGUGGACUCCUCCCUCCCCAUUUUGGUCUGCUUAGCACUCAUUUAUUUCUUCUGCUACUUAUGAACUCUGGUGAGACUGUUAAUUGUAGUGUCUCUCUGGCCUUUUGGUCCAGACAUGGGCGUGUGACCCAGUGAGGGUUGCUCCUAGAUUUGGUAUGUGGGCACUGGGAGAAAAAGCUCUCUCUUCUUUUUGAAGCAUGAGCUAUACGGGAUGUAGGUUUCCAAAGGAGCUCCUUUCUGCCACGUGUUGAGAGGUUGCCAAUAGUAAAAGGAUGAGGCCAAAACACAACAGAAGCCUAGACAAGUAAAGCUGAGUGGUUUGAGAAAGAGACAGAGAACCCAUACAACAGUCAGAGAUUCAACACACAUUAGCCAAAACCUCACCCUUCUACCUGAACUAUUUUGAGAGAACCUCUGUUCUUUGCAAAUAAAUUGUCCUUAAUGGAGUACUCUGCAAUCAUUGAAUUCAGUUUUUGUUUUAUUUUGCAGAUAGGAAAGUUAAGGCCCAGGGUGGCUAAGUGACUUCCUCAUGACAUUUCAGCAUUGACUUGUGGCCUCCCAAACACAAACCUAGGACCCUGUGAAUACCAAAAUCUGGGGAUACUCAAGUCCCUUAUAUAAAAUGGUAUAAUAUUUGCAUAUAACCCAUGCAUAUAAUCUCUAGAUUACUUAUAAUACCUAAUACCAUGUAAGUGGUAUAUAAAUAGUAGUUAUACUUUAUUGAUUUUUAUUUGUAUUUUUAGCUGUUGUAUUGUUGUUUUUAUUGUUUUUUUAUUCCGAAAUAUUUCCCAUCUGCCAUUGGUUGAAUACAGGAUGCAGAACUGGAGGAUAUGAAGGGCUGACUGUAGUUAGUAAAUUCAUAGAUAAGGAUCAAUCUUAUCAAAAUCAAAUAAAUGCAUGUUAAAAAUGUAAUGUCUUAGCUACUAAAUUCAUUUUCCCUAAAAUUAACAAUAUCUAAUACUAGAAGCAGCAUCUUCAAAAUUGGUUGUUCAUCUGGGAGACUGUGGUUAAAUUUCUUUUUUAGGCUUGAAGGCGUCAUAAUGCCCACAAUAUAUUUAUUUUCUCUCUUCUUUGGGAAAAGAAAAAUUGUGACUUUCCUAUUAUUCUGAAGUAAUUCCCACAAAGACUUCAAUACACCUUCCUCGGAAAGACACAUUUUGCAUCAUUGCAACAAUAAGUAUUCAUACAUUGUAAGGCUUGCAAACUUCCACUGAGAACGCAUUGCUCAAAAUAUUUGCCAGUUUGAGGUUUAAUGACACCUCAAGUGACAUUAUGUGUUUGCUGUCACUCACAUUUCCUAGACGAAUUUUUAAGGGAUGGAAAGAAAUCCUCUAGGUUGUAAUAGAACCCCAGUUUUGAGGGGUUAUUAUUUUGGACCUACAAAAAAAUUUAUAAUCAGAUAGCUUAAAUCAGUGUGGUAAUAUUUGCAUGCUGUACUGUAAUAUUGUUUUGCAUAAAGAAUAAAGGGACAAUGAAAUAACACUUUGAUAGUUUGUUUUAACACUUGAAAUUUUAAAGUAUUUGUUUCAUUGUGUAUUUUUCAAAAUGCAGACAUUAGGCCUGGCUUAAACAGUGAUCCUGUUUUGGCAGGCACUCAAUAAUAUUGUACGUGGCACCAUUCUUUGGAAAAUUUUUUUGUGUAUCAAUAACUUAAAAAUACUAUGGUCUGGGUGUGGUGGCUCACGCCUGUAAUCCCAACACUUUGGGAGGCCAAGGCGGGCGGAUCACCUGAGGUCAGGAGUUUGAGACCAGGCUGGCCAACAUGCUGAAACCCCACCUCUACUAAAAAUACAAAAAAUUAACUGGGCGAGGUGGUGUGUGCCUAUAGUCCCAGCUACUUGGGAGGCUAAGGAAUGAGAAUCGCUUGAACCCGGGAGGUGGAGGGUGCAGUGAGCCGUAUAUAUAUUUUUAUAUAUAUACACAUACGCACACACACAUAUAUAUACACACACACAUACAUACACACACAUAUAUACACACACAUAUACACACACAUAUAUACAUAUAUAUAUAUAUAUAUUAUGGCCAGCAGUCUAUCAAAAAAUUAGUA
Macaca fascicularis (crab-eating macaque) is the source of this 2474-nucleotide long non-coding RNA. The record is from Ensembl. Lineage: Eukaryota; Metazoa; Chordata; Mammalia; Primates; Cercopithecidae.